This is a long non-coding RNA of Drosophila navojoa, 114 nucleotides long. The record is from RefSeq and is a predicted model, not a curated record. Lineage: Eukaryota; Metazoa; Arthropoda; Insecta; Diptera; Drosophilidae.
UUAUGAUUAAGCAUGGUAUUUGGACAUGUAAACAGACAGAAACUCAAUUGAGUUUUGAUUUAAAAGGCCAACCAAUUGUCAAACUAAUUGGCGCCGUUUACGGUUUCGAUCCUC